GACGAACGCUGGCGGCGUGCCUAAUACAUGCAAGUUGAGCGCUGAAGGAUGGUACUUGUACCAACUGGAUGAGCAGCGAACGGGUGAGUAACGCGUGGGGAAUCUGCCUUUGAGCGGGGGACAACAUUUGGAAACGAAUGCUAAUACCGCAUAAAAACUUUAAACACAAGUUUUAAGUUUGAAAGAUGCAAUUGCAUCACUCAAAGAUGAUUCCGCGUUGUAUUAGCUAGGUGGUGAGGUAAAGGCUCACCAAGGCGAUGAUACAUAGCCGACCUGAGAGGGUGAUCGGCCACAAUGGGACUGAGACACGGCCCAAACUCCUAAGGGAGGCAGCAGUAGGGAAUCUUCGGCAAUGGAGGGAAGGCUGACCGAGCAACGCCGCGGGAGUGAAGAAGGGUUUCGGAUCGUAAAACUCUGUUGGUAGAGAAGAACGUUGGUGAGAGUGGAAAGCUCAUCAAGUGACGGUAACUACACAGAAAGGGACGGCUAACUACGUG
Molecule: ribosomal RNA, 497 nt
Filed under: uncultured bacterium
Lineage: Bacteria
Description: partial 16S ribosomal RNA
Rfam family: Bacterial small subunit ribosomal RNA
Source: RNAcentral